UGACCUUAACCAGUUGGAUGCCUGAUC
This 27-nucleotide non-coding RNA is filed under the name Homo sapiens (human). Lineage: Eukaryota; Metazoa; Chordata; Mammalia; Primates; Hominidae. The record is from RNAcentral.